RNAcentral lists this ribosomal RNA (531 nucleotides) under Diaspididae sp. D2081A. RNAcentral describes it as "eukaryotic LSU rRNA". Lineage: Eukaryota; Metazoa; Arthropoda; Insecta; Hemiptera; Diaspididae. The record is from RNAcentral.
AUCUGGGCGGCGGAAUUCAGGAUAGCUGAGCGGGUUUCGCGCUCGUUCGGUUGUUUGAUAUUUCCGUCGCUGUAUCAGACGUCGCGACCUGUUUGUCGUCGGUCCUUGCUCGGAGGAAUUGCGAUCGAGUUUGUUGCGAGCGCGUUUCGGCGUGUCUCGCGGCGAAGGCGCAUCUUUCUGGCUGACGACGGACAGUAAGCAACGGUGUCCGGCGUCGUGUCUCGCACUCGACGUCGGUGCCGGUCGGCGACGAUUUCUUCGGGCCUCUUUCCGACCCGUCUUGAAACACGGACCAAGGAGUCUAACAUGCGCGCGAGUCGCGGGGUUUCGAGCGUGCCACGGUGCGCUCGUUACAUUCGAAACCCGUACGUUGAAGGCGUAAUGAAAGUGAACAGGGAAGAUGGCGUUCCGAGUCCACGUACCGUGAUCGAGUAUCGCGGCCGGACGCCCGCAUUCCCGGGGCGUCUCAAUGGUUCGUCGCGGAUGCGGACGGUCGUCUUUCGGGGCGGCGGUCGGUCUGCGACGGUCCGA